This is a long non-coding RNA of Dermochelys coriacea (leatherback sea turtle), 845 nucleotides long. RefSeq lists it as uncharacterized. The transcript is spliced from 3 exons. Lineage: Eukaryota; Metazoa; Chordata; Testudines; Dermochelyidae. The record is from RefSeq and is a predicted model, not a curated record.
ACUGAAUAGUUUACCUGAUAGUGUAGGAUAAAUAUGAAAUUAAAUAAUUAAGAGUUAUCUUAGUUUGGUAAGGAAAUAUAUAUGUAUUGUAAACAAAGGUCCUGACUAGCAAGUAGACAGAAGGCCUUGAAAAUUAUAAAUUACAAGGCCAGAAGGAGUGAAGUAGGGAGAAUGUCUUGUUCAAAGAAUAAUGAGAUAAGGGGAAGUUUUUACAAAGAAGAUCUUUGACCAACAGAGGUGAUUGCAGAUGGUUUUAGAUAAGACAAAAGGAAUGUCUUAAAAUGAGCCAAUAUGGCCCUUCCCAGUCCACACACUAGUGUUAAAGCCUGUGUGAAUCUAGGUGCAAUGGAAAGCUAUUGGGCAGCAAGAAGGAGGAAAGGACAGGCCUUAGGAAGAAAGGAGGUUAUAAAUCUGAUCUGGAUUAAGACUGGAAAUAAGGGUGAACUGUCUCAAAUUGUUUUUAGCUGAAGUCAGUAAUUGGCAAUGACAUCACUUGUUUGUUAAAGGAUAUAAAAAAGUAAACACUUAAAACGGUUCAUUGCUAAUACAUGCCGGACACCAUUGGAGCCAGCCAAUACGGAUCUAAGCACUCCUGGGUUUAGCUGGUUUGUACAUAUCUUGAUGAAAUGUUUGUAGGCGUUUAAUUACUGUUUGGGUGUAGUAAAUUGCUUAUUAUUUAGGCUUUUUAGGCACUUUUAGAGCAAUUGUAUAAGUACCUUUUAGCCUUUGGAUUUAAUAAAGGAAUUUAUGGUUACAUUAGUAUUUGGUGGUUCCCAUAUCAAUACGAAUCAUUUCAAAUAUUAAUUCCAACAGGAGAAAAAUAUAUAAAUAGCACACUAUUUUAC